RNAcentral lists this long non-coding RNA (209 nucleotides) under Elaeis guineensis (African oil palm). Its description in RNAcentral is "long non-coding RNA (EGUI_LNC026200)". The record is from RNAcentral. Lineage: Eukaryota; Viridiplantae; Streptophyta; Magnoliopsida; Arecales; Arecaceae.
GGGGGGUGUUUAGUGGAGUGAAGUAAUGAAACCUCCACGGAGGAGUCCUAGAUCGGCAUGGUGCGGUAGGGGAUCUAAGCCAGUUGUUUCGAGAUGGGGUUCGGGAACGAUGAGGCUUUGGCUCCGCACGCCGAUGCUGUACUCACCGUUGGUCCUUUUUCUUCUCUUGCAAGUUGUUCUGCUAUGAUCCCUCAUUGAGGUUCUCUUCC